RNAcentral lists this ribosomal RNA (480 nucleotides) under uncultured bacterium. RNAcentral's name for it is "partial 16S ribosomal RNA". It matches the Rfam family "Bacterial small subunit ribosomal RNA", at positions 28 to 507 of the family's 1533-position model. The record is from RNAcentral.
GAUGAACGCUGGCGGCGUGCCUAACACAUGCAAGUCGAGCGAUGAAACGAUAACAGUACCCUUCUGGUCGUAGCUACGGAGGAGUAGCGGCGGACGGGUGAGUAACACUUUAGUAACCUGCUUUAGACAUUGGGAUAGACCUGGGAAAGCGUGAUUAUUACCAAAGCAAAUUAUAAUAACACAUGUCAUAACUACCAAAACUCCGGUGUGCUAAGAUGGACGCUCGUCUCAUUAGCUAGGUGGUAGGGUAAAAGCAUAUCAAGGCGACGAUGGCUAGCCGGGAUGAGAGAGUGAGCCGACACAUCGGAAGUGAGCAGCAGUCCAAACUCCUACGGGAGGCAGCAGUGGGGAAUAUUGCACAAUGGAGGGAACUCUGAUGCAGCGAGGCCGCGAGAACGAAGAAGGCUGUCGAGUAGUAAAGUUCUUUUAUAUGGGAAGAUAAUGACGGUACCAUAAGAGAAAGCCCCGGCUAACUACGUG